AGUGAACGCUGGCGGUAGGCCUAACACAUGCAAGUCGAACGGCAGCACAGUAAGAGCUUGCUCUUACGGGUGGCGAGUGGCGGACGGGUGAGGAAUACAUCGGAAUCUACUUUUUCGUGGGGGAUAACGUAGGGAAACUUACGCUAAUACCGCAUACGACCAACGGGUGAAAGCAGGGGAUCUUCGGACCUUGCGCGAUUGAUGGAGCCGAGGUCGGAUUAGCUAGUUGGCGGGGUAAAGGCCCACCAAGGCGACGAUCCGUAGCUGGUUUGAGAGGAUGAUCAGCCACACUGGAACUGAGACACGGUCCAGACUCCUACGGGAGGCAGCAGUGGGGAAUAUUGGACAAAGGGCGCAAGCCUGAUCCAGCCAUACCGCGUGGGUGAAGAAGGCCUUCGGGUUGUAAAGCCCUUUUGUUGGGAAAGAAAAGCAGCAGGUUAAUACCCCGCUGUUCUGACGGUACCCAAAGAAUAAGCACCGGCUAACUUCGUG
RNAcentral lists this ribosomal RNA (492 nucleotides) under uncultured bacterium. RNAcentral's name for it is "partial 16S ribosomal RNA". It matches the Rfam family "Bacterial small subunit ribosomal RNA", at positions 29 to 507 of the family's 1533-position model. The record is from RNAcentral.